UUUUUUUUUUUUUUUUCUUUUUUACUAAAGAGAUUUAGGCUUCAAGAGGUUAAAAAAAUAUUCCCAAGAUCACAUUAGAGGCACCAGGAUUCGAACCAAAUUGUCUUACUUUUUAGUCACAAUACAAUUGUGUGUUUCAAUUGUGUGUAAUCAGGGUUACAGAUGUACUUAACAGAAUUACUUUUUCUGUUAAAAUGAAAUUUUCUGUAAACUGGAAAAUUUUAUAAGUAAUAACUUAAUUCUUUUUGUUUCAGUUCUUGUUGAACUAUUCAUCUACCUCACUAAGUUGUGGUGCACUAUGCAACUGGCCUGUAGGCAUCCUUAAAAUUGAAAGAAUAAGAUUGUGAUAGUACUUAAACAUUUCAUCAAGAUAGAUCAGUUUGUGCUGAUCCAAUAGAAAGUACUGAAGACAUACAUGCUGUCCAGCCUGUGGUAUUGUUCAUUUGGCUCAAUUGGAUGGCAUUUCCCUAAAGAUUCUGAAUCUGAGGGAUUCUUUUUCACCAAAGCAGUGAUAGUUCCUGUUGAGGCAGUAGAAAACAAUGUUCUCAGAAUGAGUCUUCUCCUGGAUUCUGGACUCUUUUUUUCAAAUAGUGAGCCAUUUGUAUGUCAACUCUUCAGAAAGCCGGUCUUUGAACCAGAGUUGCAUUUAGUGUCAGGGCUACUGACACACGGGUCACCAUGAGGCUAGUGUCCCCUUUCUUUCCCUCAAACUUCAUUUUAACCUAGAAAUAAUUUAUAUUGGUUUAUAGGUUGGGUGCAAUUUGGAAAGGACAGGAAGACAGGACAGGAAGAGCUCCACAAUUCUUAAUACUGCAAUAAGAUCUUUCUGGAUGAUAAAACUUUAAGGAGACCUGUUUAAUUUUCAUUUCUGUUAAUUCUUAAUUUUGCAUUGUAAAAUUGUAAGAUACUUAUCUAAAUGAUUUUUUUCAUUUUAAAAUGUGAUAGAGAAUAUCUUAAGGGUAUUACUUGUCUAACAUAAACCCCUUUUGCAUCUUCUGCAUUUUCCUCCCUCCUUGUCCCUGUUAUAGGAAUGUCUCCAACCUCUCCAAAUUCAUGAGGGGAAAAAAAAAUUCAUGGAGAAGAAAUUUCAGCAGUAUAUUACAAUUCUUUUUAAAAUGCUUAUAUUCUUCCCAGGAAUGACCAGGAAGCUUAAAUAUAGGUCUUUCAUCAGUAAGGGAAACCAGCGUUUGACUAUCACUUAAAAUUUAAGAGAAAACAAGAUGUAUUAAUUUGUGAACUCCUAGCUAGUUAAUGGUUCUUAUUAAAGUUAUUAUUAAAUUUUUAAGGUGAAAUGCACAUAGGAUAAUACUCCAAAACUUUAAGGAAAAAAGGAUGCAAACCAAAGUACUUAAAAUUGCUGAUAAAGUUGAGGUCACUGACAUUUUAGGAUUGAGACUAUACUAAUCCCUUUUUACAGAUUCACACAGCACGCUUAUUUUACAAAUUCAGAAACCGGCCUAAGGAGGUUAAGUUGUUGAUGCAAGGUCAUUCACUCAAUAACACAGCCUGUAUUUUUAAAACCAUGCAUCCUGCUUCUUGAAGUGUAUCUCUUGCCGGCACCUCAAAUUCAGUAAGGGCCAAACUGAUAUACCUCCAUUCUUCAAACCUUUUUAUCUCUUCUCUCUCUUGAUGGGUAGUGACAGCACUGUGUAUGCAGUAGUCUCAGCUACAAACCUGGUCAUCAUCAGUUUCUCAUUUUCUCUUACUUUCCACCAUUAAUUCACAUUUUUUUACAGUUCUAUUUGUGGCAUGUCCCUCAAACCUGUGUUCUCUAUUGUCACUGCCACUAUACUAGUAGACAUCAUCUCAUUACUGAUGCCAACAUCAGUUGGGGAUUAGGCAUUGAAUUCCUUGUACAUUUUUAUUUUUAAUAAAAAAUGAUGGUCUAUAUUUUAAAAUACGAUUAGAAGGCAAAGCACUUUAGGCUGCAACAAGAUGAUGAUAAAAAGUAGACAUCUAGAAUGAAAUAUACCCGGGUUCAGACAAAAGAAAUGCUUUAUGGUGGGAUUGAGGCAUCAAAUGAUAGGGACUUUGAAGAAUACUUUGGCAUUUAGGACCAGUUAGGGACUUAAGAGCAACAGAACUGUAAGGCACGAACUUACAAAACUGAUAAACUUUAAACUGUAUGUUCACCUUUUAUUAAAGCUUCCUCCCCACCCCCUGCCAUAAUAAAAGCUCAUCUAUUUGUGGUGGUGGUGGUCAUUUUAUAAGAGCUUAGAUGAAAGAAGAGUCCAUUGCUGGAAACCUUUGGGAUCCUACUGCUAAUCACAUCGUAAGUAAAUGAGUAGCUCCAUAAUCAGGUGAGCCCAUAUUCAAAAGGAUUUCUUUGCUUUUUACAACUGACUUUUUCCCUAAAGAAACAUCAAAAGUGGUCUGCCUCCUAUGUAACUUUUUGUUUUUAAGAUUUUAUUUAUUUGAGAGCACAUGAGGGAGGGGAGUGGGCAGAAGGAGUAGAGGGAGAAGCUGACUCCCUGCUGAGCAGGGAGCCCAACAUGGGGCUCGAUCCCAAGACCCUGAGAUCAUGACCCGAACCAAAGGAAGAUGCUUAACUGACUGAGCCCCCAGGCACCCCAGUGAAUUGUUUUUUUCAAUAGAAGACUCAAUACUGGUUUUGGAUGUUGGGCUGUCAUGUAUUACCUCAAGUUCUGUCCUGACCACUUCACUGAAAUGCUCUCAAUAAAGUCCCCCACCAACUCACGUUUCUCCCCAACCUCGUUUCUAAAUCCUAUGGAUGUUUCUUAGAUAGACCUCACCUCAUUGAACAGCUUUUGACAUAUUCUUUCCUUCUCACACUACACUAUCCUGACUUCCUCCUGUUUCACUGGUCCCUCUUCUCUUUGCUAAUAUCCUCCCCCCUUUUCCAAUCUUUACAGUUUGGAAUUCCUUGGGAUACAGUAAUCGAUUCUCUCUCUAGAAGUACUCCCCCCAAGGAGAUUUCACUAAGUCCCAGUUACCUGUCAUACAUAUGCUAGUGGUAUCCACAGUUAGGUCUUCUACUUGACAUCUCCACAUGGGUAUCUCUGGCAUUUCCAUUUCCAUGAGACCACAACAACCCUUGACUCCCGCUCCACACCUGUUCUACCUCCAAUCUGCCUUAUUUUAAGAAAUAAUCAUCGUUUACCCAGUUGCUCAAGGAAUGCUUUUUUCCUCAUCAAGGAUUUUCAGAUAGACUGAAUCUGAAUGGUUCUCGUCAUGUGCACCACUACCAUCUUAGUCCAAGCCUCACUCACCUUUUACCUGUACUUCCGUGACAGCUUCCUGCUUCCACUCUUUCUCUUCUCAGGUCUCUUAUUUUUAGAAUUGAUUUAUUACCUUCUGUCCAUUGAACAUUUGUGUUUUCCAUUAUCAUAGUUUCAGAUAUAUUCUUUUCAUAAUGACAAUUAUCUCCUCUUCUUUCCCACUUGUACUUUGUGGUCAGGUAAUAAGGAAAGCGAACUUGAUGUGUAUAUGCCUAUUAGGUGCCAGGCACUGUGUUGAAGAGGUUCACAUAUAUUAUCUAAUUUCUCAAUAAUUUUUGCAGUAGGUAUGAUUAUUGCCAUUUCACAAAUUAGGAAACUGAAGGCAUACCAAAAUUAAGAAACUUACCUACAUUUUUUAAUAGUGGGAACUGCAAUCGAAACCCUGUUCUUUCUGACUCCCACUUUCCUGGCACUGUUCUGCCUCUGGGGGGUUUUCCUCCAUUGUCCCCUCCUGAAGUCCCUGGUUUCUCCUCAACUUUGAUUUAUAUUCCUUUAUUGCUUUUGCUUAUUCUGCCUUCUUUUCCUUCAAAUUCUUGACUCGGGUUUUUUUCUCUCACAUUCUGCAUUUCCUCUUAUUAUACUCACUGAUCUAUUCUUAUCCACAAAUGAUACUCAAUACUCGAUUUUCAAAGGGCCGUCUGUAGGAUUAGUUUCAUAACUGCUAUCUACAUAAAAGCCAUUUAAAGAUGUUAAGCCUGAGGGCACCUGGGUGGCUCAGUCAGUGAGGCAUCUGCCUUUGGCUCAGGUCAUGAUCCCCGGGUCCUGGGAUGGAGCCCUGUGUUGGGCUCCCUGCUCAGUGAGGAGUCUGCUUCUCCCUUUGCCCCACCUGCCUCAUGCUUUCUCACACAUGCUCUUUCUCUCCAA
RNAcentral lists this long non-coding RNA (4103 nucleotides) under Canis lupus familiaris (dog). RNAcentral's name for it is "lncRNA (ENSCAFG00000053173.1)". Lineage: Eukaryota; Metazoa; Chordata; Mammalia; Carnivora; Canidae. The record is from RNAcentral.